This 311-nucleotide ribosomal RNA is filed under the name uncultured bacterium. RNAcentral describes it as "bacterial SSU rRNA". It matches the Rfam family "Bacterial small subunit ribosomal RNA", at positions 28 to 334 of the family's 1533-position model. The record is from RNAcentral.
GACGAACGCUGGCGGCACGCUUAACACAUGCAAGUCGAACGGAGAAUAUUUGAGUUUACUUAGGUAUUCUUAGUGGCGGACGGGUGAGUAACACGUGAGCAACCUGCCUUUGAGAGAGGGAUAGCUUCUGGAAACGGAUGGUAAUACCUCAUAACGUAGUUUUACCGCAUGAUAGGACUACCAAAGAUUUAUCACUCAAAGAUGGGCUCGCGUCUGAUUAGAUAGUUGGUGAGGUAACGGCUCACCAAGUCGACGAUCAGUAGCCGGACUGAGAGGUUGAACGGCCACAUUGGGACUGAGACACGGCCCAG